GAGGGCAAAGCACAGUGGUAGAGCGCAUGCUUAGCAUGCAUGAGGUCCUGGGUUCAAUCCCCAGUACCUCCU
RNAcentral lists this transfer RNA (72 nucleotides) under Camelus bactrianus (Bactrian camel). It matches the Rfam family "tRNA". From Rfam's summary of the family: Transfer RNA (tRNA) molecules are approximately 80 nucleotides in length. Their secondary structure includes four short double-helical elements and three loops (D, anti-codon, and T loops). The record is from Rfam by way of RNAcentral. Lineage: Eukaryota; Metazoa; Chordata; Mammalia; Artiodactyla; Camelidae. RNAcentral also lists the same sequence under 1 other name.